Molecule: ribosomal RNA, 520 nt
Filed under: uncultured bacterium
Lineage: Bacteria
Description: bacterial SSU rRNA
Rfam family: Bacterial small subunit ribosomal RNA
Source: RNAcentral
GGGAACAUACCCUUUUCUACGGAAUAGCUCUGGGAAACUGGAAUUAAUACCGUAUACGCCCUACGGGGGAAAGAUUUAUCGGGGAAGGAUUGGCCCGCGUUGGAUUAGCUAGUUGGUGGGGUAAAGGCCUACCAAGGCGACGAUCCAUAGCUGGUCUGAGAGGAUGAUCAGCCACAUUGGGACUGAGACACGGCCCAAACUCCUACGGGAGGCAGCAGUGGGGAAUAUUGGACAAUGGGCGCAAGCCUGAUCCAGCCAUGCCGCGUGAGUGAUGAAGGCCUUAGGGUUGUAAAGCUCUCUCACCGAUGAAGAUAAUGACGGUAGUCGGAGAAGAAGCCCCGGCUAACUUCGUGCCAGCAGCCGCGGUAAUACGAAGGGGGCUAGCGUUGUUCGGAAUUACUGGGCGUAAAGCGCACGUAGGCGGAUAUUUAAGUCAGGGGUGAAAUCCCAGAGCUCAACUCUGGAACUGCCUUUGAUACUGGGUAUCUUGAGUAUGGAAGAGGUAAGUGGAAUUGCGAGU